RNAcentral lists this ribosomal RNA (697 nucleotides) under Pseudomonas plecoglossicida. RNAcentral's name for it is "bacterial SSU rRNA". It matches the Rfam family "Bacterial small subunit ribosomal RNA", at positions 46 to 739 of the family's 1533-position model. Lineage: Bacteria; Pseudomonadati; Pseudomonadota; Gammaproteobacteria; Pseudomonadales; Pseudomonadaceae. The record is from RNAcentral.
GCGCCUACCAUGCAGUCGAGCGGAUGACGGGAGCUUGCUCCUUGAUUCAGCGGCGGACGGGUGAGUAAUGCCUAGGAAUCUGCCUGGUAGUGGCGGACAACGUUGCGAAAGGAACGCUAAUACCGCAUACGUCCUACGGGAGAAAGCAGGGGACCUUCGGGCCUUGCGCUAUCAGAUGAGCCUAGGUCGGAUUAGCUAGUUGGUGGGGUAAUGGCUCACCAAGGCGACGAUCCGUAACUGGUCUGAGAGGAUGAUCAGUCACACUGGAACUGAGACACGGUCCAGACUCCUACGGGAGGCAGCAGUGGGGAAUAUUGGACAAUGGGCGAAAGCCUGAUCCAGCCAUGCCGCGUGUGUGAAGAAGGUCUUCGGAUUGUACAGCACUUUAAGUUGGGAGGAAGGGCAGUAAGUUAAUACCUUGCUGUCGUGACGUUACCGACAGAAUAAGCACCGGCUAACUCUGUGCCAGCAGCCGCGGUAAUACAGAGGGUGCAAGCGUUAAUCGGAAUUACUGGGCGUAAAGCGCGCGUAGGUGGUUUGUUAAGUUGGAUGUGAAAGCCCCGGGCUCAACCUGGGAACUGCAUCCAAAACUGGCAAGCUAGAGUACGGUAGAGGGUGGUGGAAUUUCCUGUGUAGCGGUGAAAUGCGUAGAUAUAGGAAGGAACACCAGUGGCGAAGGCGACCACCUGGACUGAUA